Molecule: long non-coding RNA, 1020 nt
Organism: Gasterosteus aculeatus aculeatus (three-spined stickleback)
Lineage: Eukaryota; Metazoa; Chordata; Actinopteri; Perciformes; Gasterosteidae
Source: Ensembl
AGCAGCUGACAGACAACUAAGGCGACGACAAUCCUCUCCCCAACGGGUUUGUCAGUAUUAUUGCACAACGGAAAAGUGCAUUCCUGUCUGCGUUAACCCUUCUUGUGUUACAGUCAUGAUCUAGUCCACUACGGAUGAAGCUGCAUCUCCUGCAUCCUUGGAUUCCUGCAGGGAUUGAUCGAUAUUGUGUUUAGUGAGACUAGUAUACAGGGAAAUCUGUAGCGAGUAGAUGAUGAGGGACAAUCACUGUUGACGGAUGUGACUGUAUGAUAAUUUUUCUGUCUUUGAGGGAUGCUCACAGUGAACUGUGAGCAAGGAGGGAAUUGUUAGGGAUUUAAGCCAGAAGUGCACCCCUAGUCAUAGAAUUGUAGUACGUGUAAUGAUGUUUAGUGAUAGAAUUAUAGUUUGUGUGUUAUUAGAUAUUAGUUAUUACGUUAACAUGUUAGAUGAAGUGAAUGCAAUUUCAAUCAAACACAAUUCAUAGUCAUUUAAAUCAUAUAAACACUGUAACAUUAACAUUCUGUCAUGAUGUGAUGUUAAAACCUGGGGACGGAUGCCAAUUGCCGUUCUUUAUGGAUUUCUCCCAAUUUUAUCCCCAAAAAGGGUUUUUUGGGAGUUUUUUCUCCUGUCAGGUAAUAAAUGAACAACUUAUUUCAAGGCAGCCGACUGAGGCAAAUGUCUUGAGAAUUGAACCACAUGAACUGUUUUAGAUCUUAUGAUGAAGUGUGAUGAACGGUGAUCAUUAGUGAUGGGUUGUUGUAAUGAAAGUGUACUAGUUAUAAGAUGAAGACUUAAACGAUGUAUGCUUUGUUGGGUUCACUCAUUGAGGCAUAAAGCCACUGUAUCUACAUUGAGUGCAUUGGAAUGUGAGGGACAGCUAGGACAGAGAGGUUUCAGGUUACAGCUGCAGCUUCACACCUCGACGUGAAGGGGACAAUGGAGGAGGUGACCCUUUGGAGAAGAGGCCAAUGACAUUCAAAUGCACCAAAGAAGACACACCUCAAGAGUUUUCAAAGGACC